CAGCAGCCGCGGUAAUACCGGCGGCCCGAGUGGCGGUCACUAUUAUUGGGCUUAAAGCGUCCGUAGCCGGGUUGGGAAGUCCUCCGGGAAAUCUGGCCGCUUAAAGGUCAGAAUGCCGGAGGAUACUCCCAGCCUAGGGAGCGGGAGAGGCCGGGGGUAUUCCCGGAGUAGGGGUGAAAUCCUAUAAUCCCGGGAGGACCACCUGUGGCGAAGGCGCUCGGCUGGAACGCGUCCGACGGUGAGGGACGAAGGCCAGGGGAGCAAACCGGAUUAGAUACCCGGGUAGUCCUGGCGGUAAACGAUGCGGACUUUGUGUCGGACAAGCUAUGAGCUUGUCCGGUGCCGGAGGGAAACCGUUAAGUCCGCCGCCUGGGGAGUACGGCCGCAAGGCUGAAACUUAAAGGAAUUGGCGGG
Molecule: ribosomal RNA, 414 nt
Filed under: uncultured microorganism
Description: bacterial SSU rRNA
Rfam family: Archaeal small subunit ribosomal RNA
Source: RNAcentral